CCAGACUCCUACGGGAGGCAGCAGUGGGGGAUAUUGCACAAUGGGGGGAACCCUGAUGCAGCGACGCCGCGUGGGUGAAGGAGUGCUUCGGCAUGUAAAGCCCUAUCGGCAGGGAAGAAGCAAGACGGUACCUGACUAAGAAGCCCCGGCUAACUACGUGCCAGCAGCCGCGGUAAUACGUAGGGGGCGAGCGUUAUCCGGAUUCACUGGGUGUAAAGGGAGCGUAGACGGCCAUGCAAGUCAGAAGUGAAAGCCCGCAGCUCAACUGCGGGACUGCUUUUGAAACUGUAUGACUAGAUUGCAGGAGAGGUAAGUGGAAUUCCUAGUGUAGCGGUGAAAUGCGUAGAUAUUAGGAGGAACACCAGUGGCGAAGGCGGCUUACUGGACUGUAAAUGACGCUGAGGCUCGAGAGCGUGGGGAGCAAACAGGAUUAGAUACCCCUGUA
RNAcentral lists this ribosomal RNA (445 nucleotides) under uncultured bacterium. RNAcentral describes it as "bacterial SSU rRNA". It matches the Rfam family "Bacterial small subunit ribosomal RNA", at positions 331 to 792 of the family's 1533-position model. The record is from RNAcentral.